RNAcentral lists this ribosomal RNA (253 nucleotides) under uncultured bacterium. RNAcentral describes it as "partial 16S ribosomal RNA". It matches the Rfam family "Bacterial small subunit ribosomal RNA", at positions 524 to 776 of the family's 1533-position model. The record is from RNAcentral.
UACAGAGGGGGCAAGCGUUGUUCGGAAUUACUGGGCGUAAAGGGCGCGUAGGCGGCCUGUUAAGUCGAACGUGAAAUCCCCGGGCUCAACCCGGGAACUGCGUCCGAUACUGGCAGGCUUGAAUUCGGGAGAGGGAUGCGGAAUUCCAGGUGUAGCGGUGAAAUGCGUAGAUAUCUGGAGGAACACCGGUGGCGAAGGCGGCUUUCUGGGCCCUACCUGACGCUGAGACGCGAAAGCGUGGGGAGCGAACCGG